UCUGAUUGCUGCACAACAUUCUCCAGCAAGCUGGAAGAUUUGGCCCCUUUUGUGUUAAACAAGUCCAAGAAAACAUCUGUGAUAGAAUCUCAGACAUCAGCACUGAUGGUUGUGCCAGGUAUUCUGAAAGAGAACUUGUCUGUAUUCAUGGUUCAAGAAAAUCAGUCUGAUCCAGAGCAAGUUCAGGGUGCUCAAACCAAUGAUGCAUCCACACAUCUAAGUGAAAUGUGCCAAUGAUGGAUAUUCGAUCAUAUGUGAAGAAAUUCAAGUCGCAAAAGACACCGUCUUUCUUGGAGGUUACGAUGUUUGACUUAAAAAGAAAGUUGAAGCUUCUAUGACCGACUAUAAAGCUCAUCAAUCAACUCAAGUAGGCAUGUCAACAAAUUGGACAAAAUGGACAUUAU
Molecule: long non-coding RNA, 404 nt
Organism: Lytechinus variegatus (green sea urchin)
Lineage: Eukaryota; Metazoa; Echinodermata; Echinoidea; Temnopleuroida; Toxopneustidae
Exons: 3
Source: RefSeq, a predicted model, not a curated record